ACAUAUAUAUAAAAAAUCAUAAUAAAGUGAAGAAAAUUAUGUCCCGCAUUGAAUCUCAGCUCUUUCUAGAUUUCUUAGUUAAUUUCUGACUGAAAUGUUCCAGUUUCAUUUAAUCUAUUUAGGGUUUAGAAUCUUUGAAAGCAUUCAACUUGAACUCCUAAAUCAAUCAAACAAAAAAAACCCAGGUAUAAAAAGGCUUCUUUCUUCCCUGAUCCCUAACUUCUCAACCCCACGUACAAUCACCCUUUUCCUGACUAAUUAAUUCCACAACAAACAGCCAAAGUGGAACAUAUCGCUAAACUUGAUGCUCACAUGGCUGGCAAGAUAUCUCUCGCCUCUCCUGCCCACUUGUUCAGCUACAGCAGCAGCCCAUUUGGUCUUCUGUUUCUCCGGGUCUGAAAUCUAGGCCACCUAGGAAUCGACAGAGUCUAGUGAUUCCAACGAUGAUGGACAGUGGGAAUGGAGAUGGAGGAGGGUAGGGGGACCACCAUCAACAAGCAAGGUUCAUGAAUAUUUCCAGAGACAGUGCUGACACUGUGUAGCAGCUGUCGCUCUUUAUUUAAUGUUCCUUUGUGUUUGUUUUCAUGUAUAUCAUAUCACCUCAGGAAACGCAUCCAUGGAACUCUCUUUGAAUUCUUUUACAGAGGAUAGUACUGUGUAAUUCACCUGUGAUACGCCAUGGGUGGAAUCAAAUUCCUUGUUUUACAACACAAAUAUAGAAUAUGAAAGCAUCGUUAACAUGUUCCGUGAAUUGAGAA
This is a long non-coding RNA of Populus nigra (black poplar), 758 nucleotides long. RefSeq lists it as uncharacterized. The record is from RefSeq and is a predicted model, not a curated record. NCBI's taxonomy places the organism in Eukaryota, Viridiplantae, Streptophyta, Magnoliopsida, Malpighiales, Salicaceae. The transcript is spliced from 2 exons.